CAGGGAGCUUUGGAUGGUGGUCUUGACAUUCCUCACAGUGACAAGAGGUUUGCUGGGUUCAAGAAGGACGAGAAGCAGCUUGAUUCUGAUAUUCACCGCAAGUACAUCUACGGUGGGCACGUGGCUGACUACAUGAGGGUGAGCUGGCACUAUUAGAUCAAUUGUUCGUGCUGUGGGUUGUAUUAGGAAUUAUGUAGCUGCCUUGAUGUUUAUAACGUUGACUAAAGCAUUAUAUAAAGUUUGGAUUAUUUGUUACUGUUUAGCUCAGUCUGCUUUAUUUUGAUUGUCAUCAGGAUAAAUUUUCUUCUUAUGUACUUGUUGCAGUCUAUGGCUGAGGAGGAACCUGAGAAAUUCCAAGCCCACUUUAGUGAGUACCUCAAGAAGGGAAUUGACGCUGAUGGCAUGGAAUCACUGUACAAGAAGGUCCAUGCUGCCAUCCGCGCCGAUCCUACCAUGGCCAAAUCGACCAAGAAGGAACCGGCUACCCACAAGAGGUAUAUUAAGCUGGCUGAUGAUUUUCGUAAAGAUUAUUUGUGAUGUCCAUGUAUGAUGUAACUAACUUGCCAUCUCUUUGCUGCAGAUACAACCUCAAGAAGCUGACCUACGAGCAGAGGAAGGCCAGUCUCGUCGAAAGAUUGAAUGCUCUCAACUCCUCCGCUGGUGCUGAUGAUGAUGACGAGGAAGAGGAUGACGAGUGAGAGAGUAGCCUUAUCACAGUAGUUUCAUCUUAUGCUGCCAAACAAACUCCAUAUGGCAUUUAAGUUUACCUGUAGUCUUGCAAUUUGCAACAGGCAUUUUUGUUUAUGUUCUGCACUCUGCUCAAAGAACCUAUUUCUUUCGGUUUUUGAUUCUCAACCUUGAGCUAUCAGUUAUCUUAUUUAUGUGAGAAGCUGCCGUUUGGAUAUUGAUAUAAUUGUGUUCUGCCUGCCUCUUCACUUGUCUUUGUUUUAUGUUAUUCCUUUUUAGCAAUGGGCAGUCAAAUCUGCUGGUCUUGCCUGCAUUUAUUCUGAACUGGAGCUGCCUUGGGCUCUUUACUCGCUAGAUGAAGUUUGAUCGCUUGCUUGUGUCAUUCAUUCAGUUUGAGAUUGACAUCUUGCUUGCUCAUUCAUUAUGUUGAUAACAAUGUGAAGCAUGUAGUUCCUAGUUUUGACAGAUUUUGACAUAUGGUUUCUAUAUAGUGAUUUUGGCAGGAAAUACGAGUCCAUCACUAUUUUCUAACUAAAGUUUACCGUCCAGCAUGAGUUAGAACUCUUUGAAUAAAAUAUUUUCACACAUUCUUGUUGAUUGUCCAGCAUGAGGAUUGAAAAAGACUAUAAAAUCUAAAAAAAAAUUCACACAUUCCUGUCUUAGAUUCUCCUGUUUGUCUUUACAACUGGUUUUGUAAUGCUAACAAUGCACACACCGCCUCCAAAUCAAUCUCAAAUUUCACAUAUUACUGCCUCGAAUGCUCCAAUUUUCACCAAUUCGUCUUUUAAAUUGGUUUGUUACAACUAAGUAAGCCAAAGCGAGCGAAUCUCACUUGGUACUUGGUAGCUCUUCAUGAACUAAUCUAAACGACAGCCACUUCGCAGCAACAUUUCCGAAGCAGAUUUUAGAUUUUUAGUCAAAGUUAAUGGGUUAAUGGAUUGACAUCCAAACUAAGAUAAUAAAAAUAAGCGGUACCGCAACUAGAAGGGAGUCACGGGAGCAGCGGCUUGCAGGAAUCAGUUUAUGAACAAUGCAGGCAUAUCAAAAUUUCAUGUAGAUCUAUAUGAUCGGAUUAUGCCAACUUGCCAAGCAUGAGUUCAUGAGAAUGCUAACACUACCUGCAACACCUUAAAAGUACUAAUCCUCUAAUAUAACAACGAAGCAUACUGAAAUCUCGUCAGCAUACUCAUGCAAAAUGUGAAGCAAUGUCGCAUCUCGUGAUCAUUUCUGCUGUAUUGCAACGUACAUAUGGUGCCGUCAUGUGUACUACCCACAAUUCACAUACUCCCUCCGUCUCAAAAUAUACCUAUUUCUAAUACAGUGUCUUAUCCCAAAAUAAACCUAUUUCUUCACCUACCUCCUCCUCUCAACCAAUCACAACAUUCUUCUUCACCUAUUUUCUCUUUUCAACCAAUCACACACUUCCUCCAAUCAUUCUCACCUAAUUUCUUAAUACCCGUGCCAACCUUAAAAAUAGCUUCAUUUUGGGACGGAGGAAGUACAUGGUAAGAGAGCAGAAUAACUUCCAGCGUGGAUCUAACUACUAAGUACUCUCUCCGUUUUAGGUUAUAUGACGUUUUGACUUUGGUCAAAAUCAAACUAUUUCAAAUUUGACUAAGUUUAUAAACAAAUAUAUUAAUAUUUAUAAUACUAAAUUAGUUUUAUCAAAUCAACAUCUGACACAGAAGGGGUAGAGACUAGAGAGCACACUGAUUGUCUCUCGCGCGUUCUUCUUGGUCACAUUAACAAAAGACCUGAAGAUACAAACAUCGAGUGAGUGAGUGACCAGACAUAAGGACGGAUGAUUACACAGUUCUGAAAGAACACAUUUUGACUAGAACAGUAAUGUCAGGCUGGAUAAGAAUAUAGCGUCAAGGGGCUAAACAGAGCUACUUGGAGGAGCACGGAGCAGCAGCAAAUUGAAUACCCAUAAGAAUAUAUAAGAUGAUGUGAUUAUGUUACUGAACGGAAUGAACACUAAUUUACUUAAUACAUAGAACCACGGUCCGACCGAUGAACCGGGGUCUAACCAGUGAACCGACAAGCUCAUCGGGUCAGUCCUCGGUCCGACUUUUUCUACUAUGGUGGGGCGUGGUCGGCGGCACAUGUCCCCGACGUCCCUGGCAUCCCGACGGAGAUGGACGCCGGCAGACACAGAGUUGGCACGGGAGGAUGCGGCACAGGGGUUGUUGACCGUGCGUCGCUGGUUCAACGUUGAUGGAGUUGGAACGCCGCCACCGCGACCUCCCCGAGCUUCGGCAUCCCCCAUCUUAAGCGAGAUCGGUAGUGUCGCCGCCUCACCUCCCCAAGCGCGCGCGUCGCUGGUCCAACGCGGACGGAGCCGGAACACCGCCGCCGUGACUUCCGCCAGUCCUCCAUUCAGCGCUUGUCUCGCUGGCGCCACGGGAGAUGUAAAAGAUAAUAGGGGAAGAGGAGAGUUGCUGACGAGUGGGACCCAUAAGCUGACUCAGCUAGUCAGCAGAAUCAAAGCUGCCACGUAGGACAAAACCGUCUCCGAAACCGCGAGGGAGGUGAUUUACUCUGGUUUUCAGAGAAGGAGGCGUUAUACCCAGUUUUCCGGUUGAGGGAUAUUAUUCACGCAAGCGUAACAGAAAAGGGACGCAAAACGGACUUAUUCCAACGAGGAAUUAUCUCCUUUCCCAGGCCCACAGACUGAGGCCCAUCAAGCCGCGGAGAGCAACCCCUCAAGACGAUCUGAGCCGUCCGAUCCAUCUCCCGCACCGCAUCCGUCCGCCCGAUGCGCUCGCGCGACUCGGGUUUCUUCUUCGAGUGGAUGGAUAAAAGGGCUCGAGGGCAGCCGCCGCUAUAAACCCUAACUAUUCCUUCUCCCACCUCUCCCCUCUCCUCGCUCCUCCACGCGCCGCCGCCGCCGCAGCGGAGCAGCCACAGCAGGCGAGCGACAUGGUAAGAUCCUCACACUCCAUCCUCUCAACCUCCUUGCAGCCCUGCUAGAAUCGGUCGCUGCGUGCUGUGCUGUUUCGUUCUUGAUUCGCUGCGUCGCGGUUUGGUUCAUGGGUGUCCUUGAUUAGCUCGGUGGGUGAUUGGUAGUGCGGCUGCGAGGUUAUUUGCGUUUGUGGCGAUGGAUAUGAUGCUCGGUUCUCGGGAUCCAUUUCGAUCCGGUAGGGAUCUAUGGUGUCAUGUAGAUUUCUUGCUUAAACGAUAAUGUAUUUUGGCAUUUCGGUCGUCGUGCUUCCCAUUUGAUGUUGCUAGCAUCUCUUCUUUUCGCGGUUGCAUUUUGCAGUAGUUCGUGCCAUCCAUCUUGAUUGUUUUGUUCAGUAGAGCCACUUAGGUGGGUUGCCACAUCCCAGUAGUGGUAGUAUAGUAGUUGUCACAAACACUAUCUAUUGCUACAACCAGCACAAAUUUCAUAUGCUUGUCUAGCUCUAUCAGUUUUUCUGGAUAUUGGAUUUUAGAUGGUUCCGUUGUCUAGUUGCACCAAUACAUUUGCUAUCCUAACUGACUGCUUGAUAAUAAAAUUGCAGUGUUUCGAUAUGCGUUUAGGAAGUUCUCAAAUUUAAGUCUAUUUCACAUGUUUGCUUGCCUUCAGUUUUUAUGCUGUUUGUAUUAAUAUGAUAAUGUCUCUCCAGGGAGGGUUUGUCAAGACCCAGAAGACCAAUGCCUACCACAAGCGUUUCCAAGUCAAGUUCAAGAGACGGAGGCGUAAGUCAAGUUCAAGAGACCGAGGCGUUUCCAAGUCAAGUCAAGGUUUUGACGUACUUAAUCUCAUUUGUCAUUGUUUGCAGAGGGCAAGACUGACUACAGGGCCAGGAUUAGGCUCACCAACCAAGAUAAGAACAAGUACAACACACCGAAGUACCGCUUCGUUGUGAGAUUUGUAUCCUUUUUGUUCUUUGUAUCAUGAUAUUUAUGCAUUUCCUCGUAAAUUCUGGUUAUUAUACUAUAUAUUUGUUAUUAUCAUACUGUAUGCCUUAAUAGUACAUUAGACAAACAAAGAUAUCACAGCUCAAAUUGUCUAUGCUACCAUUGCUGGUGAUAUCGUGAUGGCUGCUGCCUACUCCCAUGAGCUGCCUCGCUAUGGUCUUGAAGUUGGUCUCACCAACUAUGCGGCAGGUAGUUUCCUCAGUUGAAUGAAUACGCAGAAUGCUGGUUUGUGUUGCUGUAUGAAUGCAAUUUAAUUCCUCUGUUUUGAUGCAUUGUGUAGCUUAUUGCACUGGCUUGCUUUUGGCUCGCCGUGUGCUCAAGCUCCGUGGUUUGGACCAGGAGUACGAGGGCAAUAUUGAGGUACAAAUACAAUCCUUAUAAAUUUUUUACUCUAUAUGCUCAUGCUCAUGCUGAUUUUGAUCUUGAUAUGUAUGAUUCCUUUGGUUAGGCCACUGGGGAGGACUACUAUGUUGAACCAGCUGAUGAAAGGCGGCCUUUCCGUGCUCUCUUGGAUGUUGGCCUCAUUAGGACAACCACUGGAAACCGUGUCUUUGGUGCCCUCAAGGUGUGUUGUGCUUUGAUCGCAACUGUUGGCUGCUGUAAUAAUAGUUGAUUUAUCACUUGAACAUCAAAUUCCUCAGCUCUUUUAGAAACACAACCGUUACGAUAACCUUUGGAUUGUUGAUCUGUAUUAGUAGCUCAUGUGGAUAUACUUCUCUUUUCUUCUGCAGGGAGCUUUGGAUGGUGGUCUUGACAUUCCUCACAGUGACAAGAGGUUUGCUGGGUUCAAGAAGGACGAGAAGCAGCUUGAUUCUGAUAUUCACCGCAAGUACAUCUACGGUGGGCACGUGGCUGACUACAUGAGGGUGAGCUGGCACUAUUAGAUCAAUUGUUCGUGCUAUUUUGACAUUGCUGUGUGUUGUAUUAGGAGUUAUGUAGCUGCCUUGAUGCUUGUAAUAUUGACUAAAACAUUAUAAGCAGGCUGGAAAAUUUGUUACUGUUUAGCUCAGUCUGCUUGAUUUUUAUUCUCAUCAGUUUAAAAUUUCUACUUAUGUACUUCUUGCAGUCUAUGGCGGAGGAGGAACCUGAGAAAUUCCAAGCCCACUUCAGUGAGUACCUCAAGAAGGGAAUUGAUGCUGAUGGCAUGGAAGCACUGUACAAGAAGGUCCAUGCUGCCAUCCGUGCUGAUCCUACCAUGGCCAAAUCAACCAAGAAGGAACCGGCGACCCACAAGAG
Molecule: long non-coding RNA, 5826 nt
Filed under: Oryza sativa (Asian cultivated rice)
Lineage: Eukaryota; Viridiplantae; Streptophyta; Magnoliopsida; Poales; Poaceae
Description: long non-coding RNA (OSAT_LNC001750)
Source: RNAcentral